UGCCAGCAGCCGCGGUAAUACGGGGGGUGCAAGCAUUAAUCGGAUUUAUUGGGCGUAAAGAGCGCGUAGGCGGGAGUAAAAGUCAGAUGUGAAAUUCCAGGGCUCAACCCUGGAGCUGCAUUUGAAACUCUAUUUCUAGAGGGUAGGCGGAGAAAACGGAAUUCCACAAGUAGCGGUGAAAUGCGUAGAUAUGUGGAAGAACACCGGUGGCUAAGGCGGUUUUCUAGCUUACUCCUGACGCUGAGGCGCGAAAGCAAGGGGAGCAAACAGGAUUAGAUA
This 279-nucleotide ribosomal RNA is filed under the name uncultured bacterium. RNAcentral describes it as "partial 16S ribosomal RNA". It matches the Rfam family "Bacterial small subunit ribosomal RNA", at positions 506 to 784 of the family's 1533-position model. The record is from RNAcentral.